CUCUUGUAGUGGCUACCUGCCCAGCAAAUAAGCUCCAGUAAAGCUCCUCCAGGAAAAGGGAAUCUGACUCUGCUACCUUUCACUAGGCAGCACCUGCUCUAAAACCUGCCGCAUCUGGCCCUCGGUUGUGUUUCCUUGACCCCUCUUGUAGUGGCUACCUGCCCAGCAAAUAAGCUCCAGUAAAGCUCCUCCAGGAAAAGGGAAUCUGACUCUGCUACCUUUCACUAGGCAGCACCUGCUCUAAAACCUGCCGCAUCUGGCCCUCGGUUGUGUUUCCUUGACCCCUCUUGUAGUGGCUACCUGCCCAGCAAAUAAGCUCCAGUAAAGCUCCUCCAGGAAAAGGGAAUCUGACUCUGCUACCUUUCACUAGGCAGCACCUGCUCUAAAACCUGCCGCAUCUGGCCCUCGGUUGUGUUUCCUUGACCCCUCUUGUAGUGGCUACCUGCCCAGCAAAUAAGCUCCAGUAAAGCUCCUCCAGGAAAAGGGAAUCUGACUCUGCUACCUUUCACUAGGCAGCACCUGCUCUAAAACCUGCCGCAUGUAUGUACUUUUAGUACCACUACUUGUUUGUCACAAGAUAACGCUCUGCCUCGUGGCUGCCAGCAGCUUGCCUUACUCAACACCCUACUCUCACCAGUGGCCGUUUCUAUUUUCCCACAUUUUUUUCCUCAUCUCGACUAGCCUGUACUGCAUAGCUAUUACCAUACACAGCCACUAGAUGGCAGUAUAAGUCUGCUUUCCCCUCUCUAGUUGUAUUCC
Molecule: long non-coding RNA, 759 nt
Organism: Protopterus annectens (West African lungfish)
Lineage: Eukaryota; Metazoa; Chordata; Ceratodontiformes; Protopteridae
Exons: 4
Source: RefSeq, a predicted model, not a curated record